RNAcentral lists this ribosomal RNA (434 nucleotides) under uncultured bacterium. Its description in RNAcentral is "partial 16S ribosomal RNA". It matches the Rfam family "Bacterial small subunit ribosomal RNA", at positions 29 to 507 of the family's 1533-position model. The record is from RNAcentral.
AGCGAACGCUGGCGGCAGGCCUAACACAUGCAAGUCGAACGAACCUUUCGGGGUUAGUGGCGGACGGGUGAGUAACACGUGGGAACGUGCCUUUAGGUUCGGAAUAACUCAGGGAAACUUGUGCUAAUACCGAAUGUGCCCUUCGGGGGAAAGAUUUAUCGCCUUUAGAGCGGCCCGCGUCUGAUUAGCUAGUUGGUUGAGGUAAUGGCUCACCAAGGCGACGAUCAGUAGCUGGUCUGAGAGGAUGAUCAGCCACAUUGGGACUGAGACACGGCCCAAACUCCUACGGGAGGCAGCAGUGGGGAAUCGUGCGCAAUGGGCGAAAGCCUGACGCAGCCAUGCCGGGUGAAUGAUGAAGGUCUUAGGAUUGUAAAAUUCUUUCACCGGGGAAGAUAAUGACGGUACCCGGAGAAGAAGCCCCGGCUAACUUCGUG